This 236-nucleotide long non-coding RNA is filed under the name Carica papaya (papaya). RNAcentral's name for it is "long non-coding RNA (CPAP_LNC003536)". Lineage: Eukaryota; Viridiplantae; Streptophyta; Magnoliopsida; Brassicales; Caricaceae. The record is from RNAcentral.
UCGUAGAUCGGGUGGAACAUUCACAUCACACGCUAUUGAUUGUGUGCGUGAAGAAGUGAGGAAUGCAUUUUCAAAUUUAGACAUUAAUAAAGAGCAUAUAUACAACUGCAUAUGUUGUUUAUAUGUUUUCAAACAUGGAAUGAGUGGUUUUACAUGGAAUCCAACAACUGAACGAUUCAAAGCAAAAGAUGAAGUUUGGGAGCAACUAAUAAAGAUAAAUCUCUUACUUUAUCAUA